Molecule: long non-coding RNA, 259 nt
Organism: Nanorana parkeri
Lineage: Eukaryota; Metazoa; Chordata; Amphibia; Anura; Dicroglossidae
Exons: 3
Source: RefSeq, a predicted model, not a curated record
CCUUGGCUAAACCGAAGCAAAGAAGUUGUGGAAGAAUUUCUGUCUUUUUUGGGCAAUCUUGUGUCAGCUCAGACUGUAUAUCUAAGAUCUUGCAUGAAUAUGAUUGUCUCGCAUUUUCUACCAUCCCGUGUUGUUAUUAGUGAAGGAGAUGUUAAUAUUUCAGAUUCAGAAGAUGAGAAUGAAGAUAUUGUUGCGACAUUUAACACCUGUCAUAGGGCACUGCAGAUCAUUGCGCAGUAUGUUCCAUCGUAAGUACAUC